GCCUAUCUGAAAAGUCGCACGGAUACCAGAAACUAUAAUAUUAAACACUGGUCGACAUGUAUCCUUUUCUUUUACGAAGUUAAAAGAAGUAAGACUAAGUACGGUAGACGCCCUCGAGAGAAAUCCGAGCGGCAGGAG
Molecule: non-coding RNA, 138 nt
Organism: Candidatus Saccharibacteria bacterium 47-87
Lineage: Bacteria; Candidatus Saccharimonadota
Source: Rfam